GAUGAACGCUGGCGGCGUGCUUAACACAUGCAAGUCGAACGGGAUCCCAGGGGUGCUUGCCCUUUUUGGUGAGAGUGGCGAACGGGUGAGUAACACGUGAGUAACCUGUCCUUUUCUUUGGGAUAAGCAUUCGAAAGGGUGUUUAAUACCUUAUGUUCUGUCUGCCUCGCAUGGGGUGGGUGGGAAAGGCUUUGGCCGGAUUUGGGUGGGCUCGCGGUCUAUCAGCUUGUUGGUGGGGUGAUGGCUUACCAAGGCUUUGACGGGUAGCCGGCCUGAGAGGGCGGUCGGUCACAUGGGGACUCAGGUCCCCUCCAGGAGGCUGCGGGAGGCAGCAGUGGGGGAUAGUGGAAAAUGGGCGACAGCCUUAUGGCGCGACUCCGGGAGGGGGAUGAAGGGUUUCGCGUUGUUAUCUUCUAUGGCUCUGAACAAGGUAUGCCAGUGGGUGUGUGACGUGUCGGGGUGGAUAAGCGCCGGCUAACUACGUG
This 485-nucleotide ribosomal RNA is filed under the name uncultured bacterium. Its description in RNAcentral is "partial 16S ribosomal RNA". It matches the Rfam family "Bacterial small subunit ribosomal RNA", at positions 28 to 507 of the family's 1533-position model. The record is from RNAcentral.